AUUGAACGCUGGCGGCAGGCCUAACACAUGCAAGUCGAACGAGUGGCGGACGGGUGAGUAAUGUCUGGGCAACUGCCUGAUGGAGGGGGAUAACUACUGGAAACUGUAGCUAAUACCGUAUACCCUCAGCUGUGCACAUAUGUGAUUAGCUCGUGGGUGGGGUAACGGCUCACCAAGGCGACGAUCCCUAGCUGGUCUGAGAGGAUGACCAGACACACUGGAACUGAGACACGGUCCAGACUCCUACGGGAGGCAGCAGUGGGGAAUAUUGCACAAUGGGCGCAAGCCUGAUGCAGCCAUGCCGCGUGUAUGAAGAAGGCCUUCGGGUUGUAAAGUACUUUCAGCGGGGAGGCGUUACCCGCAGAAGAAGCACCGGCUAACUCCGUGCCAGCAGCCGCGGUAAUUC
This 406-nucleotide ribosomal RNA is filed under the name uncultured bacterium. Its description in RNAcentral is "partial 16S ribosomal RNA". It matches the Rfam family "Bacterial small subunit ribosomal RNA", at positions 30 to 526 of the family's 1533-position model. The record is from RNAcentral.